CAUUUGCCCUUGUAAGCAGGGUUCUUCUUCAUCGGUCUCUUCCAUUCACCGCAUCCUGGUGCUGCUUCACAUUUGGGGUUGUUAAUCUUUGGUGCCUCCCACAUACCAUCUUCCUCAUCAUCCCAAUCUUCAGGUUUGGUUGCCUCUGGGUCGUCCACCUCCUCAGGCUCAUCGUCUAACCAUCCUUCGGGUUUCUCGGCUUCUUCAUCUUCUAUCUCCAUCGGUGCUUCCUCGUCCCAGUCGUCAGGCUUCACAGCGUUAGGGUCAGGGAUCUUGGCUCUCUCAUCCCAGUCUUCUGGUUUCUUGUCUUCAGGGUCGGGGAUGGUCUUGUCAGGGAUCAAAGCAGGCUCAAAGUCUUCCCCAGAGAGUAAGUUGGCCUUCUUCUUCUCCUCUCCAUCAACCAAAAUCCUAACCUCGUUGUCUGGCUUCAAGAUGGCGGUGUAGACAUGGGAAAGCUUGUCA
RNAcentral lists this long non-coding RNA (462 nucleotides) under Brassica napus (rape). Its description in RNAcentral is "long non-coding RNA (BNAP_LNC022492)". The record is from RNAcentral. Lineage: Eukaryota; Viridiplantae; Streptophyta; Magnoliopsida; Brassicales; Brassicaceae.